UACGUAGGGUGCAAGCGUUGUCCGGAAUUAUUGGGCGUAAAGAGCUCGUAGGCGGUCUGUCGCGUCGGCUGUGAAAUCCCGAGGCUCAACCUCGGGUCUGCAGUCGAUACGGGCAAACUGGAGUGUUGCAGGGGAGACUGGAAUUCCUGGUGUAGCGGUGAAAUGCGCAGAUAUCAGGAGGAACACCGGUGGCGAAGGCGGAUCUCUGGGCAUUUCCUGACGCUGAGGCGCGAAAGCGUGGGGAGCAAACGGG
Molecule: ribosomal RNA, 253 nt
Filed under: uncultured bacterium
Lineage: Bacteria
Description: partial 16S ribosomal RNA
Rfam family: Bacterial small subunit ribosomal RNA
Source: RNAcentral